UGCAGCACCUGCUAGUACCACCAGAGUUAGAAGGAAUAUCAGCCUUUUCUAUCUUAAGUCCCUGCUCACAGGGUUUUUUUUGAUGACCAUAAAAAGGGGCUGAAAGCUCAAACUAGGCAAACGGGGAUUCUGGUGUUUUUACAGAGUAUGAAGAGCAUUGUGAUGCUGGUGGAUUUUGGACCAGUGAUUAACUUCAGCAGAGCCCAGAUAAAAUUUGGAUGAUUUAUUGGGAACUGGUGUGUGACCGGCACCAACUCAUCUUCUAGAAAAAAAGAGAGAGGGAUGUUUAAAUUUCAGUGCCUCAGAGCAUUAAACCAG
Molecule: long non-coding RNA, 318 nt
Organism: Oxyura jamaicensis (ruddy duck)
Lineage: Eukaryota; Metazoa; Chordata; Aves; Anseriformes; Anatidae
Exons: 2
Source: RefSeq, a predicted model, not a curated record